UUUACCAGAUGGCGGACUACUCUGAGCUUCACAUCAGUACAGUUCCUCCAGUUCGCAGCUGUACUGAAACUGAGCAGAGCUGCCACAAACCCAGAACAAAGGAUGAAGCAGACGACAGAUGACGGAAGACAGAUGACGAGAAUCCACAGCAGUACAGGAGUGAUGGUGAAGACCGGGAAGUGGGAAGCAGAUGACAGAAGACAGAUGACGAAAUACUCAGUAAAUUAGGCUAACUAUGUUACCUCAGAUGGUUGAAUGGUUGGAUUCCACAACUGGUAAAAUAAAACAUAUAUAAGCCAAUACAACAUUUACUGUAGGAGCCAUACAAUUUACUGGUGACUUAAUUUAAAAAGCUGUUCUAUUGCGCUUCUGAUUUGGCAGUGAAAUUCACCGAUUCACCUGACAUCUUUCAAAGCAAAUGCCUCGGGCGCUUAUUAGAGAUUUUUUGUCCCAAUACUAUCACCAACAAAGAUCUACUGAGCAGAGCAGGGAUGAUAACUAUCUCAAAUUAUACAUCUGCACUGCUGGAGAUGGUUCUGUCACGUCUGCAGAAAGUCGCCUAACUCUUUGCUCAGGAGUCAGGAGAGCACUCUACUGAACACCACAGGGAAAAAGAAACCAUGGCAGACCAAAAGAAACUCGGCGUAUAGGACAGCUGAAAGACAUUUGAAAGUGAGAAAGCUGACACUCCAGACAGUUCCCAACUUAAGAAAAAAAUAAAAAAAAUGGUGAGCUUGCUGCAAUUGAAUCAGACACCCUGACUUACUCAAAUGUUUAUUCCAUACACAAAUUAAGUUACAUAAAAAUGAUGGGUAACCCUUUAUUUUAAUGUGUCCAUGUUACACGUUACUUGUAUUUACUAUAGUAAUAACCAUAAAUAAGGCAUAAUUACAUGAAACUAACCCUAAACCAAACCCUAAUCCUACCCUAACCCAAUUAAGUACAUGUGCUUAAUUAAUAUUACUCAGUACUUAUAUGUAUAAUGUUGAUGGAUAUGAUGAUUAUGCAAUUACUCUAUUUUGUUUAAAGUUGUUGUUUUUUUUCUUUGUAGUAGCUUUAUCUAAUCCAGUUAGUGAUGAUGCAUAAAACAUUUAUUGAAAUGAUGGAAUGUAGAAAACAAAACUAUGUAUAAGAAUGAUAUUAAUUGCUAUUAUGUAUGCAUGUAUACUUAACCAUGUUGCAGUGAUUUGUAUAUGGUUGUUUUACAUACAGUGUAUGUUUAUGUUAAAAAUAAAUAUUAAACUGUAGUGUAUAGUACAAAAUUUAUAUUAAAGUAACAAAGCAGAGAACAUUUAUGUAUUAGAUAAAAGGAAAUUGUAAUGCUGUAGAUAAGGCAUAUUUUACAGACAAAAUGGAGACGGACACAGAGGAGAAGAGCCAAAAGGAGAGCUAACAGGAGAAAACGCUACUUCAGAAACACCUUAAAAGGAAUGUGGAAGACUUGGCAGCUCUCCAACUGAUGACAACAGAUGAGAAUUGAACAUCAGCAGUGAACUGUUUGAGUAUAAAAGACUGAUGAGAAGACU
Molecule: long non-coding RNA, 1526 nt
Organism: Megalobrama amblycephala (Wuchang bream)
Lineage: Eukaryota; Metazoa; Chordata; Actinopteri; Cypriniformes; Xenocyprididae
Exons: 3
Source: RefSeq, a predicted model, not a curated record